GGGGUCGUAUUGGUUUCGACCAGGAAUGGUUAGGCUCUAACUGCAGUCGAGUGAUGACGUUAUCAUCAAAACAAAAAUAACUGACAACAGUUAUAUGAGAGCUCCAAGAGCUCAACAACUCUGCUUAGCUUAAUUUAGCUCCCGACAUAGGGUCCGACGCAUGGCGCCGGGCAGAGCAUCCCCCAAGGUUUUAUCCUUUCACGCUUGGGUAGGAUGUCAUACCAAAAGGAUAGGUGUCUAGAGUCGAUAAGUUACUAGCGCCGAAAUUCCGUUUAUCUCGCACGUCCUAGUGAGUCGAUAUACGAAAGCGUGUUAAAUCUUAAUAUCGUCUAAACUGUAGACGUUAUUGAAGAGCCUUCUUGGGACAGGAGUUCAAUUCUCCUCGGCUCCACCA
This 394-nucleotide transfer-messenger RNA is filed under the name Bacilli. RNAcentral's name for it is "RUG14515 sp902763555 Standard tmRNA". It matches the Rfam family "transfer-messenger RNA". From Rfam's summary of the family: Bacterial tmRNA, also known as 10Sa RNA or SsrA, is named for its dual tRNA and mRNA-like properties. Its role is to liberate the mRNA from a stalled ribosome. Lineage: Bacteria; Bacillati; Bacillota. The record is from RNAcentral. RNAcentral also lists the same sequence under 1 other name.